AAGGAGGAAGGAGGGAUCUGGUACUGAAGAGCCAGGGGCCAGGGCCCCAGUGGGCAGGGCCUGAGGCCAAGCCAGAGGUCAGUUAUUACCACGAGAUCAGGCCACAUCUGACAUGACUCAAGGAAAGGAGCUGUGCUCCAGAAAAUGAGGAGAUGGGUCAAGAACACUGCAGAGACAGGUCCAGGAGGAACUCAAUCCCCAACAAAGAGGAGAUGGUGCCCAUUUUCACUAGGCUGGUAAACAUUGAGAAGGAGUCGGUCAUUUUCACUGCAGUUUCCUGCUAAAGCCUGUGGGAUCUUUGGAAGCCUGUGAAGAAGGGACCCUCCUGCCAUGCAGUCAGCAGAUCUGGAAGGACUGAGCACAGUGGUCAAAGGACUUAGUGUUCCAACCCCUCAUUUGGAAUGAGGGGGAAAGGAGCCUGGGAAACUCCCCACCACUUCCUGCCCCCACCCUCCCCUCCCCAGCUGAAUAGUGACAGACAUUCUCCUUUGAUUGUGAUGAGCUGAGAUCAAGGUCUGUCCCGAGGAUGGAAGCUGCAAAAUAAGUCCCAGAGCCCAGAGCCUCUGGGAAGGACAGGCACAGGCCCAGGAAAUGGCCAGGUGAGUACAAUCGGUCGUGUCUGGGAUGCGGGCACAUACUUAACACACAAUUUGCAUCAUUUCCUGUACUGUCUGUCCUAGGAAUUUCCAAGUUGGUCCUCCCUUUCUGAAGCAACUAGUAUUUGAAAUGAAAGGGAGGAAGGAAUACCCAAGGAUAAGAGGGAAGAGAAAUUAGGUUUCCUAACCCGGAUAUGGAAUAAUUUUAGGUCUCAGGGGAGGCCAUGUUGUUUAAACUUCUUUUGGUGGGUUGUUUUUUUUUUUUUUUUAAUUGGAGUAUAAUUGCUUUACAAUAUUGUGUUAGUUUCUGUCAUACAACGAUGUGAAUCAGCUAUAAAUAUACAUAUAUCCCCUCCUUCUAGGACCUUCCACCGCCCCCCAACCAUCCCAUCCCUCUAGGUCAUCACAGAGCACCGAGUUGAGCUUCCUGUGCUCUAUCCCUACUAGCUAUCUAUU
Long non-coding RNA from Bos indicus x Bos taurus (hybrid cattle), 1052 nucleotides. NCBI's taxonomy places the organism in Eukaryota, Metazoa, Chordata, Mammalia, Artiodactyla, Bovidae. The record is from Ensembl.